AGGUAAGCUACUAAGAGCGAAUGGUGGAUGCCUUGACUGGUAAAGGCGAUGAAGGACGUACUAGACUGCGAUAAGCUACGGGGAGCUGUCAAGAAGCUUUGAUCCGUAGAUUUCCGAAUGGGGCAACCCAAUGUAUAGAGAUAUACAUUACCUAUAUAGGAGCGAACGAGGGGAAUUGAAACAUCUUAGUACCCUCAGGAAAAGAAAUCAAUAGAGAUUGCGUCAGUAGCGGCGAGCGAAAGCGCAAGAGGGCAAACCCAGUGCUUGCACUGGGGGUUGUAGGACUGCAAUGUGCAAGAGCUGAGUUUAGCAGAACAUUCUGGAAAGUAUAGCCAUAGAGGGUGAUAGUCCCGUAUGCGAAAAACAAAGCUUAGCUAGCAGUAUCCUGAGUAGGGCGGGACACGAGGAAUCCUGUCUGAAUCCGGGUCGACCACGAUCCAACCCUAAAUACUAAUACCAGAUCGAUAGUGCACAAGUACCGUGAGGGAAAGGUGAAAAGAACUGAGGUGAUCAGAGUGAAAUAGAACCUGAAACCAUUUGCUUACAAUCAUUCAGAGCACUAUGUAGCAAUACAGUGUGAUGGACUGCCUUUUGCAUAAUGAGCCUGCGAGUUGUGGUGUCUGGCAAGGUUAAGCAAACGCGAAGCCGUAGCGAAAGCGAGUCUGAAUAGGGCGCUUAGUCAGAUGCUGCAGACCCGAAACGAAGUGAUCUAUCCAUGAGCAAGUUGAAGCUAGUGUAAGAACUAGUGGAGGACUGAACCCAUAGGCGUUGAAAAGCCCCGGGAUGACUUGUGGAUAGGGGUGAAAGGCCAAUCAAACUUCGUGAUAGCUGGUUCUCUCCGAAAUAUAUUUAGGUAUAGCGUUGUGUCGUAAUAUAAGGGGGUAGAGCACUGAAUGGGCUAGGGCAUACACCAAUGUACCAAACCCUAUCAAACUCCGAAUACCUUAUAUGUAAUCACAGCAGUCAGGCGGCGAGUGAUAAAAUCCGUCGUCAAGAGGGAAACAACCCAGACUACCAGCUAAGGUCCCUAAAUCUUACUUAAGUGGAAAACGAUGUGAAGUUACUUAAACAACCAGGAGGUUGGCUUAGAAGCAGCCAUCCUUUAAAGAAAGCGUAAUAGCUCACUGGUCUAGUGAUUUUGCGCGGAAAAUAUAACGGGGCUAAAGUAAGUACCGAAGCUGUAGACUUGCACACAACUUAGAUUAUUUAAGUUUAGAAUAUGAGAAACUAAGUUAUAUGUUUAGUUAUAUUUUUACUGAUUUUUAUAGAGUAAAGAUAGAAAUAAAACUUAGUAAAAUCAGUAAAAAUAUUCUUAGGCUAAAGUUAAGUAGUUUAAGUUGUGUGCAAGUGGUAGGAGAGCGUUCUAUUUGCGUCGAAGGUAUACCGGUAAGGAGUGCUGGAGCGAAUAGAAGUGAGCAUGCAGGCAUGAGUAGCGAUAAUUAAUGUGAGAAUCAUUAACGCCGUAAACCCAAGGUUUCCUACGCGAUGCUCGUCAUCGUAGGGUUAGUCGGGUCCUAAGUCGAGUCCGAAAGGGGUAGACGAUGGCAAAUUGGUUAAUAUUCCAAUACCAACAUUAGUGUGCGAUGGAAGGACGCUUAGGGCUAAGGGGGCUAGCGGAUGGAAGUGCUAGUCUAAGGUUGUAGGAGGUUAUACAGGCAAAUCCGUAUAACAAUACUCCGAGAACUGAAAGGCUUUUUGAAGUCUUCGGAUGGAUAGAAGAACCCCUGAUGCCGUCGAGCCAAGAAAAGUUUCUAAGUUUAGCUAAUGUUGCCCGUACCGUAAACCGACACAGGUGGGUGGGAUGAGUAUUCUAAGGCGCGUGGAAGAACUCUCUUUAAGGAACUCUGCAAAAUAGCACCGUAUCUUCGGUAUAAGGUGUGGUUAGCUUCGUACUAGGAUUUACUCCGAAAGCGAAGAAACUUACAACAAAGAGUCCCUCCCGACUGUUUACCAAAAACACAGCACUCUGCUAACUCGUAAGAGGAUGUAUAGGGUGUGACGCCUGCCCGGUGCUCGAAGGUUAAUUGAUGGGGUUAGCAUUAGCGAAGCUCUUGAUCGAAGCCCGAGUAAACGGCGGCCGUAACUAUAACGGUCCUAAGGUAGCGAAAUUCCUUGUCGGUUAAAUACCGACCUGCAUGAAUGGCGUAACGAGAUGGGAGCUGUCUCAAAGAGGGAUCCAGUGAAAUUGUAGUGGAGGUGAAAAUUCCUCCUACCCGCGGCAAGACGGAAAGACCCCGUGGACCUUUACUACAGCUUGACACUGCUACUUGGAUAAGAAUGUGCAGGAUAGGUGGGAGGCUUUGAGUAUAUGACGCCAGUUGUAUAUGAGCCAUUGUUGAGAUACCACUCUUUCUUAUUUGGGUAGCUAACCAGCUUGAGUUAUCCUCAAGUGGGACAAUGUCUGGUGGGUAGUUUGACUGGGGCGGUCGCCUCCCAAAUAAUAACGGAGGCUUACAAAGGUUGGCUCAGAACGGUUGGAAAUCGUUCGUAGAGUAUAAAGGUAUAAGCCAGCUUAACUGCAAGACAUACAAGUCAAGCAGAGACGAAAGUCGGUCUUAGUGAUCCGGUGGUUCUGUGUGGAAGGGCCAUCGCUCAAAGGAUAAAAGGUACCCCGGGGAUAACAGGCUGAUCUCCCCCAAGAGCUCACAUCGACGGGGAGGUUUGGCACCUCGA
This 2673-nucleotide ribosomal RNA is filed under the name Campylobacter jejuni. RNAcentral describes it as "partial 23S ribosomal RNA". It matches the Rfam family "Bacterial large subunit ribosomal RNA", at positions 1 to 2529 of the family's 2925-position model. Lineage: Bacteria; Pseudomonadati; Campylobacterota; Epsilonproteobacteria; Campylobacterales; Campylobacteraceae. The record is from RNAcentral.